Molecule: unclassified non-coding RNA, 430 nt
Filed under: Hevea brasiliensis (rubber tree)
Lineage: Eukaryota; Viridiplantae; Streptophyta; Magnoliopsida; Malpighiales; Euphorbiaceae
Source: RNAcentral
CAUAAUACUCCAAUUUCAGUACAUUCAUAAUGACGCUGAGCAAAAUAAACAAGCUCCGAGACACAAGCAACAUAAUAUUACCGCAUUAUCUUAUUAAUAUGAUGUCCAUCUCCACUAAUUGCUCUACAAGAAAUCUCUGGGAUCCGUAACGAAGCCUGUCAGCGCUGAUGCUGCAGCAGUAAAUGGCGAAGCCAAAUAGACCUGGCCUUCUUUGUGCCCCAUCCUACCCGGGAAGUUCCUAUUUGUCGUAGACACACAGACCUGAGCGUCAUUCAUCCGAGCGUAAGUGUCACGAGGGCCACCCAGGCAAGCCCCACAACUAGGACUUGCUGGGGUAUCACAGCCAGCUUCCUCGAAAAUCUGAGAGCAAGUCUUGCCACCAGAUCCUGGAACUGGGAGGCUAUAAACAUCCAUCCAUACCUUUUGGGUG